RNAcentral lists this ribosomal RNA (239 nucleotides) under uncultured Lactobacillus sp. RNAcentral describes it as "partial 16S ribosomal RNA". It matches the Rfam family "Bacterial small subunit ribosomal RNA", at positions 125 to 355 of the family's 1533-position model. Lineage: Bacteria; Bacillati; Bacillota; Bacilli; Lactobacillales; Lactobacillaceae. The record is from RNAcentral.
CCGUAGCCCAAGAGAUCGGGAUAACACCUGGAAACAGAUGCUAAUACCGGAUAANAACAGAUGAUGCCUAUCAACUGUUUAAAAGAUGGUUCUGCUAUCACUCUUGGAUGGACCUGCGGUGCAUUAGCUAGUUGGUAGGGUAACGGCCUACCAAGGCGAUGAUGCAUAGCCGAGUUGAGAGACUGAUCGGCCACAUUGGGACUGAGACACGGCCCAAACUCCUACGGGAGGCAGCAGCA